GAUGAAGAACGUAGCGAAAUGCGAUACUUGGUGUGAAUUGCAGAAUCCCGUGAACCAUCGAGUCUUUGAACGCAAGUUGCGCCCGAAGCCAUCAGGUUGAGGGCACGUCUGCCUGGGCGUCACAUAUCGUUGCCCAAUCCCUAUUGCAGUGCAAUAGGAAUUUCUAGGGCGAAUGAUGGCUUCCCGUGAGCGUUGUUGCCUCGCGGUUGGUUGAAAAUCGAGUCCUUGGUAGGGUGUGCCAUGGUAGAUGGUGGUCGAGUUAGAACGAUACCGAUCAUGUGCAUGCUCCCCAAAAUAUGGCCUCUAUGACCCACACGCGUCUUUUGACGCUCAUGACGAGACCUCAGGUCAGGCGGGGCUACCCGCUGAAUUUAAGCAUAUCAAUAAGCGGAGGA
This 395-nucleotide unclassified non-coding RNA is filed under the name soil metagenome. Its description in RNAcentral is "partial contains 5.8S ribosomal RNA, internal transcribed spacer 2, and large subunit ribosomal RNA". The stretch from base 1 to 122 matches the Rfam family "5.8S ribosomal RNA", at positions 35 to 154 of the family's 154-position model. The record is from RNAcentral.